AAAAGCGCGGCAUUUUAUGUACCGAAUCGCGAGAGAUCGGACGUGGAGGUAUAUACGCGCAAGUUGCAUGCCCUGGCAGGGGCUGAACCUUAAAUAUUUUGUGUUGGAGGGUUUUCUGCAAAAGUCCACUUGUAUAUAUAGUGGUAGUUAGGGUUUUUGGGCACGAAACCUAGAUCGAGUCACCUUCCUCCCCCAGCAAACCCUAGAUGACUUCAACCCAUCCCUGCCCUCGUCAUGCGCGCGCCUUGGCCGCCGGCAAGCCUGCGGUCGCCGGAGGGACUCCCCGGCUUCCCCCUCUACUUUCUCUCCCUCUCCAUCUCUAUCUCUCUCUCCCUCUCUCUUAUCUCGGGUUGUGAGGAAGCCCGAGACU
RNAcentral lists this long non-coding RNA (370 nucleotides) under Ananas comosus (pineapple). RNAcentral describes it as "long non-coding RNA (ACOM_LNC025044)". The record is from RNAcentral. Lineage: Eukaryota; Viridiplantae; Streptophyta; Magnoliopsida; Poales; Bromeliaceae.